CAUGAUGCCCAGUGGUC
Molecule: unclassified non-coding RNA, 17 nt
Filed under: Mus musculus (house mouse)
Lineage: Eukaryota; Metazoa; Chordata; Mammalia; Rodentia; Muridae
Description: oocyte_clustered_small_RNA7769
Source: RNAcentral